UUUACAUUGUAGCCUUCUCCCAGACCUACUCCAACCUGGGGAGAGAAAAACACGCCACUGUGGUCUCCAGCCCGCAGUUCCACUGGACACUUCCAAAGCCUCAUUCCAGUGGAUGCUGAAACCCUUCACUGAGCUUGCUCGUCACCUUUAGGGUAUGAUAAGUCCCUUUUCCUUUGCAUAGCACACACGCCCCAUGGAAUCAGAAAAUCAUGCUGCUCAGGCAGGUCACAUUCCCUAGCACUGGGCAGAAAAGCCUUCUUCAUGGGCAUACUCCCACCCUGAACACAAGGCUGUGCUCUGGGAAGUGGAAAUACAAGGUCAUCGGCACCACACUCUCCAUACUGAAGAGCACAUCAGAGAGAGAAGGGAGUAAACAGACUUCACUCAGGACUGGAAUCACACCUGCCCAACAAGCAAAGCACAUCUGGAUUAGGCCCAGUCCCAGAUGGAAGCUGAGGCGCACCACUGGCUUUGUAUUUACUUGGAUGUAAAAAGGUCCAGAGUAGCAAUUAGAUGAUGGGGUGACACUGCUUGCUAAGAGCCCUGGAGCCUGUGUGGCUAGGGGAUCUGAAGGGAUGAAGGUGUUCCCCCACUGAAGACCUUUCAUCUCUGUAACUUGUGGAGCAGGCCUAUUGGUCAGGGACAAUGGGUGUUUCAGCAUCUUGUGGCACUUUAAAACUUCCUUCUCCAGCAUCUGGAAGAAACAGGGAUUUCCUCAAAGUACCCUGCAGCUGUAGAGCUUGGAAGACUCGAAAGUAAGAUGGUGUGGGCUGGUGGUGACCUCAGAGGCCACCCUUUGGUCAGGACUUCAUACACUGAGAAGAUCUGAAACAAAAACUUCUCAUCUGUUGGAGCCACUGGGGAAUAGGUAUCGUUUAUGUACUGGGUAGUGGAGUAAAGUCACAUUCAAAGCCCAGCAACUUACAGAAAACUGACUUCUUAGAGCCAACAAGUCAAUCUGAAGAAAGUCAUGUCAGAUUAUUACUAAAGUCAGACCCAAAGACUAUACAACUCAAUGAGUAUCUAUGCAUAUGACUAGCAUAUGACUCUGAAGAAGGAAAUGAACAGUUAACCAAUUACUUUGCCUGCUUCCCAAAUUCUUAGAUCUUCAUUUGCCAUCUUUUCUUUAAAACUUUGGGCUUCUAUUGCUAGCCUAGUACUUACAAAACUACAAGAAUAGAUAUAUUUUUAAAAUGUAAUAUAUUAAAAUUCAUGCAAAACUAUUAAUUACUUAAAAUUUCAUUUUGAUUGUAUAAGAGGAAAAAGAAGUAUGGAUGUCUUUUUUUUAUGCAAAGUUGCAAACACUCUUCAUGGAUAUAUCUCUAGCCUUCAACACAGCCUAUUUAACAGUGAACUAUAAUGAAACUACAGUGAAACUUAAGUAUGUUUAGAAAACACAUGGAAAAUUAGAAUUCCAUAUUCUUCAUACAGAAGUACCUGCAGAAAUGUUACAAUAAACCUAUUUAUUUAAUCAAGUGAUUGUCAGUCCUCCAUUUUCUAAAUUCUACAUUUUUCAUCUAAAUAUAUCUUUAUGUGUCUUUGAUAGUAGUCUUUUCACCCUCCGUGGAUACCCAUUUACCUAAAUCUAAGGGCUGGAGGCUGAUGCCAUGACUUCCAAUAAGAUUUAAUUAUGAGUGCAGAUAUGAACAAGAUUUAAACUAUUAAGCCUUGUACUUAAAAAAAAAACCUCUAGCAUAUUUUGCCUUUAAAUCUUUUAUCACCUGCAAAAAUUAAUUAAGUACAGAUGCAGCAGGUUUGGCUUGGAUGCCAGGGUUCAUUUCCUGUCUAUACUUUGUCAGACAACCUAUUACACCUCCUGGUGAAGUGCAGGCAAACUGAAAAGGGGGCUCAUAAAUCACCAUUGGCUUUCCCUCGCCCUUUCCUGGGUUGGUUCUUUUUGUAUGGGGCAGAUCUCCAGCUCAUUAUUCUUGAAUACGUUUUAGACAAGCUGCCAAGUGUCAUCUGCAUUUAAACAAACCAUUUGUUAAACAAAUCACAACUAUUGUGUAAGAACUCAUCCUGCUAAAAUGCAGGAGGAAUCCAAUACCUCUGACUUUUAAUCACUCAGGGUUCCUGCAGGGACUCAUCCCAGACUGGCAUUUGAGGCUAGAGAUCUUUUCACAGUGACAUGUUGACUUGUUUUAAUAAUACCAGUGUUGCAAAACAAGGGAGGUACAUGAUUGCGAACCAGGGGGAAGUGGCCAAUUGGUAACCAAAGCAACUCCAUUCCUUCCAGCACAUCUGACUUUUUAAAGUCUAUAUUCUGUAGGGAAAAGUAAAUUCAGGUUCUGUUGUGCUAUUUAACUGUGGAAGUAUCAAUUCAUUUAAGGAUCAUAAAAGUUGC
Long non-coding RNA from Mus musculus (house mouse), 2344 nucleotides. RefSeq annotates it as predicted gene, 51984. Lineage: Eukaryota; Metazoa; Chordata; Mammalia; Rodentia; Muridae. The record is from RefSeq and is a predicted model, not a curated record. The transcript is spliced from 3 exons.